RNAcentral lists this ribosomal RNA (467 nucleotides) under uncultured bacterium. RNAcentral's name for it is "partial 16S ribosomal RNA". It matches the Rfam family "Bacterial small subunit ribosomal RNA", at positions 28 to 507 of the family's 1533-position model. The record is from RNAcentral.
GACGAACGCUGGCGGCGUGCUUAACACAUGCAAGUCGAACGGAAAGGCCCUGCUUUUGUGGGGUGCUCGAGUGGCGAACGGGUGAGUAACACGUGAGUAACCUGCCCUUGACUUUGGGAUAACUUCAGGAAACUGGGGCUAAUACCGGAUAGGAGCUCCUGCUGCAUGGUGGGGGUUGAAAGUUUCGGCGGUUGGGGAUGGACUCGCGGCUUAUCAGCUUGUUGGUGGGGUAGUGGCUUACCAAGGCUUUGACGGGUAGCCGGCCUGAGAGGGUGACCGGCCACAUUGGGACUGAGAUACGGCCCAGACUCCUACGGGAGGCAGCAGUGGGGAAUAUUGCACAGUGGGCGGAAGCCUGAUGCAGCAACGCCGCGUGCGGGAUGACGGCCUUCGGGUUGUAAACCGCUUUCGCCUGUGACGAAGCGUGAGUGACGGUAAUGGGUAAAGAAGCACCGGCUAACUACGUG